UAUCUAACCCUAUAAUACUAUUAUCAUAUACCAUGUUCUUACUUAAGUCUAUGUUCCUUAACAACAACAACAUAAAUAAAUAAAUAAAUAAUAGCUACGACAACAACAACAAUAAUAACAACAUAAAAAUUCAACAAUAACAACAACAACAACAACAUAUUAUUCGCCUUGAUUAAUAUAGUAAUAAUAAUCACCUUGAGGACAUGUUUGAGUACAUGUCAAUAACCUAUUAUCUUCAACUAGAACCACUUUGAUCAAAUCCAACUCUUUCAUCUA
This 276-nucleotide long non-coding RNA is filed under the name Lathyrus oleraceus (garden pea). RNAcentral describes it as "Pisum sativum (pea) long non-coding RNA (PSAT_LNC024188)". Lineage: Eukaryota; Viridiplantae; Streptophyta; Magnoliopsida; Fabales; Fabaceae. The record is from RNAcentral.